CAGCAGCCACGGGAAUACAGAGGAUGCAAGCGUUAUCCGGAAUGAUUGGGCGUAAAGCGUCUGUAGGUAGCUUUUCAAGUCCGCCGUCAAAUCCCAGGGCUCAACCCUGGACAGGCGGUGGAAACUACGAAGCUGGAGUACGGUAGGAGCAGAGAGAAUUUCCAGUGGAGCGGUGAAAUGCGUUGAGAUCGGAAAGAACACCAACGGCGAAAGCACUCAGCUGGGCCGACACUGACACUGAGGGACGAAAGCUAGGGGAGCAAAUGGGAUUAGAUACCCCCGUAGUCCCUGUCUCUUAUAC
RNAcentral lists this ribosomal RNA (301 nucleotides) under uncultured bacterium. RNAcentral describes it as "partial 16S ribosomal RNA". It matches the Rfam family "Bacterial small subunit ribosomal RNA", at positions 509 to 807 of the family's 1533-position model. The record is from RNAcentral.